Molecule: long non-coding RNA, 1386 nt
Organism: Numida meleagris (helmeted guineafowl)
Lineage: Eukaryota; Metazoa; Chordata; Aves; Galliformes; Numididae
Exons: 4
Source: RefSeq, a predicted model, not a curated record
AGCCCUGUUAUGAUAUCAUCCUGGGGCAACCUGUUCCUUAUGAGUUCCUCAUGAGUGCCAUGGCCCAAGCCAGUGUGUUCCAGCUUCUAGCCAGAGUAUCGAGCAUGACGUUUGUCUUUGAUUCAUGUUCCCUAUCAAGCACUGGUUGUCAGUGAGAUUAUAACUUCUUGGAUGUCAUGAUUCUGUUAAUUUUCUUUUAUUUUUGUCAGACACUGGAAGGACAUUGACCAGGGACACCAGCUAUGAUCAACGACUCUUUGUGAUUGACUGCCUAUAGAAAAUUACGCCACAGUCAUUCAGAGAGAGGAGCUAUUGUGGCUCCCACAGGCAAAUACCAAGAAGUUUGCAAAUGUUUGGUUAGGACCGAGUUUGAGCUUUGAAAUUUGCACUCCACUGGAAAGAAGAUCAAGCAAAACCUUGUUAACAGACUCAACCUUUAUUAUUUUGUAAAUGACAACCUCAGUUUUCAUUUGCAGAAAGUCCCUGGCUCUUCUCUCUGGCAGUCUUGAAAUUUUAAAGCACAGAAUCCAAGAUUUCAGAAACAGAAGACAACUUUCCCUUCUUCUGGAGGAGGAAAGCACAAGAAAAUGAGAAUAAUCUAACUUAUCUCUGAUGAGCUUCUAAUAAGCACCAAGGAAGUCUGAAGAAAAAUUCUGAAACAUGAUGGUGUUGUGGUUUAACUCAACAGUUAAACAAAGGACUUCACUGUUGAGCCAGGACCAACAGUUUAUGCUGCACAUUUGCAGACAGAAAAAAUGAGGAGAAUUCUCUGGCAGCGGCAAGUUAAUCACCAACAGGCAAGAUGAUUAUUCAGUAAAAUCCUGCACUCAGACACAACCUAUAGGAAAACAGGUAGAUACACUUUUUUGAUGAAGAAUAAUGAGAAACAGCACCAACUAAGUCUUCAGGCUUCUCCUUCUCCUUAACCUGCCCAGUACCACAGAAGAUUGAUUAUCUCCCGACUAGCCAUCAGGCUUCCAGUUUCCUUCAACUGUCAUUUCACACUGCUCUUACCCAGCAAACAGUAAGUACAAUCCAGGUCUGUGCUCAGAAAUAGAGUGGGGCUGAACUGUUUUUUGCUUCUUUAAAUCAUCAAUUUUCAUCACAGAGCAACAGAACUUCAGCAGCAGUCAUGACUGAGAAUUAGAAGUUCCAACAUACUCUUCUUUUUUUUUCCACCCUCAGAAAAGAACUAACUAUUCUUUAACUAUUAACCCAUCAGUCACAGACAAAAACCACUAAAUAUUCUGCACCUCCAUUUGUUCGUAACUUGGGCUUUAUGUCAUUUAGGUUAUUCAUUCUCCCUACCAACACUAUAACUUCACUAAUGAAUGAAUCAAGUAAAUGAUUACAAAAAUAAUUAAAAUACCUUAUUUUGUAACUGGG